CACGUCAUUAUUCCUAACAUAAAAUUCAACAAUUUCUGAUAACCCUGCAGUUAGAAGUCUUCUGAAAUGAUAAAAAGUUCACAUCGCGAUUCUUACGGACUACGAUACGCGACGUGUAGCACGAUAUUUCGGUAUUCGAACAAAUCGACGUCGAAACUUUUCUUUUUUUUUUUCCCCAGCAGAAUGCGUUGAUUUCCAAGUAAAUGAGAUGCUUCGGAUAGUGAUCCUUACACAAGUAUGCUUAAUUAUCCUUGAAUCGAUAUAAAAUUGUACAGGAUACAGCAGGGGAACAGCAACAGCGUCCUCUGCUGUAAGGAUUGCAUCGUUUUGAUGAGCUCAUAGCUUUCUCGCAUUAAAGCCAUACAGCUAGAGUUCGACUUUUCCCGAUUAUUUUCCGUCCUAGUCCUCUGAAACAGCAGAGAAGGUGCUCUAACUGUGCUCGAGACCUUCCCUUGUAAGUAUCCAUCUUGUGCCUGAGGUUGUGCUUCAGGUCUUUUAGUUGAUUUUCCAUUUCAGAAGCUCCGCUAGGAACAAAUGCACCAAACUUCACAGAAUGUUAUGUUGAAGAUUGAUUAAUUCCUCGCGAAUUUGGUUUACAAAUGAAUCCUAUUCAUUCCAGCAGGUUCUGGAGAGAAAAUGAGAUUCUGUAUAAUAUCCUACAGCUAUGUACAAUAUUUGAUUCAGUUCGUCUUUGUCUGUUUUCUCAGACAGUCACUUUGCGUUAAAUAUUUAAGUUCAUCAAUUAGACUACAAAGCAGAAUGUACAUAUACAGAGUAAAUGGAUAUAUCUCAAGACGGGUGCUCCGGUAGGUAGGGUUUUUUUUUCUUCUUCCCCCCUUCCAGUUUGGUUCUGUGUCAUUUUUAUCCUGGUGUAACACUUUCUUUCUUUGUUUUUCGUCUUUCCAUGUUUAAAAUUCCACUUUAAAAUGAAAAUUGAGAAGUAAUCUGUGCAGGGUGAUUACUUUAAUUAAUAACGGUUCCAGAUUGAUUUCCACUUUGCUUUUAUAAUAAGCUCCACUCUUCUGGGAAGGAUUUCCACUAGACUUUGGGGCGUGGCCGUGGGAUUUGUGUUCAUUCGGCUACAAGAGCGUUGGUGAGGCUGACGUGAGGACGCUCCAGGUCCAGUUCGUCCCGAAGAUGUUCAGCGAGGUUGAGGUCGGGGAUCUGUACAGGAUACUCGUGUUCUUCUCACCUUAGAUUGCCAGCUGUAGACGUGGAAGAAGACUGUGGCGACUUCACACAUCAUCACUUCCUGUAAAAGAAAUACCGUUAGGUAACACAUCUGUUGUUAGUAUUGGAGAUGUAACUGAAUACGAGCACAU
This is a long non-coding RNA of Ictalurus punctatus (channel catfish), 1322 nucleotides long. NCBI's taxonomy places the organism in Eukaryota, Metazoa, Chordata, Actinopteri, Siluriformes, Ictaluridae. The record is from Ensembl.